UCUCUAACCCUCUCUCUCGAUAUCUUCUUCACAGAAAACAAAUGGAGAAAACCUUAUGCCCUUUCAACACCAUCUUCCUCAAACACCUACACCACAGCCAACACCCUCUCUUAUCCUCUCAUUUUCAAGUCUGGCGGACCCAAGGGAGGAGCCGGCAAGCCGACGAUGGCCGGCGAGCUUACCCGACGACCUCUCCGGUCGACGUGCUCCGACAACCACCCCUCCCCCCUCUCGUUCUCUCUCACUCGAUGUCCAGGUCGGACCGGCUCCGGCCGUAUUCCUUCAAUGACGACGAUGAUGUUGAAGAUGGCGACGAGAUGUAGCUGAUGAUGAUGAUGAUUUGCCACUGCUAUUCGAUGACAACGACGUUGUUGUGUCCGACAAGCUCCGUUUGUGAUGCGGGUGAUACCGGCUGAUGUGUGGGUUCCGGAGCUCCGACUCAGGCGGGUACGAUUCAGCUCUUGAAGUCUCGUACCAAGUUCGGGUUCACACAGUUCAGAAUUCCGGUUUGGUUUUGGUCUCGGUUUAGGCUUCGGGUUGGACUCGGAUGGAAUUCGGGUGUUACGGUUCACUCGGUUGAGACUCGGUUCGGUCAAAGACAGUCACAGCAGGUCAACAAGCAGGUUCGGGUCUCGGCUCGUAUCUCGGUUAAGUUUCGAGCUUUGGUCAAACAGUCAAGGCAGGUCAACCGUGGUCAAAGCUCGGUCAAACUGAGUCAGCAACAGUAAACCGUAGUCAACGGCAGUUAACUCGGGUCAACAGGCUGUCAACGCUCAACUGUCGGGUCAACAAACAGUUAACACGAGACCCGGUAAAGUUUACCGACGCGAAAUUAGUAUAGAUCGUUAUAGUUUCUAGAUCUUUUUUUUUACUACGCGAAUCGAGCUCGACCGGUCAAAAGUUUAUACAUUAGAGAUUUAUUUACGAUUCUUGCAAAAUUUGCGAAAAGUUAUAUAUAUA
Long non-coding RNA from Helianthus annuus (common sunflower), 960 nucleotides. RefSeq lists it as uncharacterized. The transcript is spliced from 2 exons. Lineage: Eukaryota; Viridiplantae; Streptophyta; Magnoliopsida; Asterales; Asteraceae. The record is from RefSeq and is a predicted model, not a curated record.